This is a long non-coding RNA of Centrocercus urophasianus (Greater sage-grouse), 607 nucleotides long. RefSeq lists it as uncharacterized. The record is from RefSeq and is a predicted model, not a curated record. NCBI's taxonomy places the organism in Eukaryota, Metazoa, Chordata, Aves, Galliformes, Phasianidae. The transcript has 4 exons.
CAGCCAUUCCACUGGAAGAUGCUGCACAGUAAUCACUUUGUGUUGCACCAGCUCAGUUGGAUUGUCCUGCUCAGCUCUUCAGGAAUUUUUGGAAGCAUUUUUUUGGUUUCAGAAACUCAUCUAAAGAAUUGCUUCAAACCACAACACAGUGGGGAUCUCAUGAACUUCAAGCCCAGUGAGAUUAUAAAUGCUUCCAGGAGUUGAUGUCGCUAACCACUGGCUUUAAUCUUGACCGUUUCUCACUUAUGCCACAGAAAGGAAUUGCCUGAGCUGUGCCUGUUUGGCUACCUCUGGGGAACGGCUGCGAGUUGGGGUUGUGACAGGAGUCAGCAGAGCUCUCCAUGAGCAAUGAGUGAACAGAAAGUUCAGCUCCUUGGAAAGACAUAUUUUAAGGGGAAUCUCAUUAAAAAGACUCUGAACAUACAAACAAAGUGGUAAUGUAUUCUUAAUGAGGCAAGGUGAUGUCUUGCUGUGUAAAUGUGCAAAGACCUGUAAAACUGCAGUUCUCCUUCCACUCAUUGAAGACAAUUGUAAGCGUUUGUCAAUGCGUCACUGUCCUGUUUAGUGGUGAGACUGGUGAGCUGCAUGGAAAGAUACCUCUGCCAAU